RNAcentral lists this ribosomal RNA (524 nucleotides) under uncultured bacterium. Its description in RNAcentral is "partial 16S ribosomal RNA". It matches the Rfam family "Bacterial small subunit ribosomal RNA", at positions 28 to 523 of the family's 1533-position model. The record is from RNAcentral.
GACGAACGCUGGCGGCGUGCCUAAUACAUGCAAGUCGAGCGCUUCUUUUCUACCGCGUGCUUGCACUCAUUGGAAAAGAGGAGUGGCGGACGGGUGAGUAACACGUGGGUAACCUGCCCAUCAGAAGGGGAUAACACUUGGAAACAGGUGCUAAUACCGUAUAACAGUCGACACCGCAUGGUGUUGAUUUGAAAGACGCUUUCGGGUGUCACUGAUGGAUGGACCCGCGGUGCAUUAGCUAGUUGGUGAGGUAACGGCUCACCAAGGCGAUGAUGCAUAGCCGACCUGAGAGGGUGAUCGGCCACACUGGGACUGAGACACGGACCAGACUCCUACGGGAGGCAGCAGUAGGGAAUCUUCGGCAAUGGACGAAAGUCUGACCGAGCAACGCCGCGUGAGUGAAGAAGGUUUUCGGAUCGUAAAGCUCUGUUGUUAGAGAAGAACAAGUAGGAGAGUAACUGCUCUUACCUUGACGGUAUCUAACCAGAAAGCCACGGCUAACUACGUGCCAGCAGCCGCCGUAA